Long non-coding RNA from Alexandromys fortis (reed vole), 1475 nucleotides. RefSeq lists it as uncharacterized. The record is from RefSeq and is a predicted model, not a curated record. The transcript is spliced from 3 exons. NCBI's taxonomy places the organism in Eukaryota, Metazoa, Chordata, Mammalia, Rodentia, Cricetidae.
UUGCUAAGAGAUUUCAAGUGCAUCGAUCAUAAGAAUUAGACGAUGCAUCAAACGUUCAAUUAGUACAGUUCUUGCCACAUAAUCGAACACGGGAGAAGUGGAAGAUAAUGUUUAAAAGUCCGUCUUAAAAGUGUGUUCCUGGUGGUGUCCUAAGUGCUGAGACUACAGAGGGGCACGUGACCUUCCUGCCGGCACUGCACCCCUCUAGCGGUCAGGUGAUCUCCCUGCCAGCAGCGCACCCCUCUAGCGGUCAGGCAAAAUAAAACUACUUUAGGCAGGGCCAAGCCACAGGAGAGAGGAAAAUACUUGAUCUAGGUAGGAGUGAACGGAUGGGUACCGGGGCGUGGUCUUCAAGUGGACAUAAAGAUGUCAUGAACGGAGCCCUCUAGAGCAAUGGUUUUCAACCUGUGGGUCACAACCCCUUCUGCAAACCUCUGUCUCCAAGAAAGAUUUACACUCUGACUCAUAGCAGUAGCAAAACUACAGUUCUGAUGAAGAAUGGAUGAAGAAAGUAUGGAAUAUAUACAUAUUAGAGUACUACUCAGCAGUAAAAAACAAGGAUUUCUUGAAGUUUGCAGGCAAAUGGAUGGAAAUAGAAAACACUAUCCUGAGUGAGGCGAUGAAAGGAGACAGAGACAGAGACCCACACUGGAGCACCGGACUGAAAUCUCAAGGUCCAAAUCAGGAGCAGAAGGAGAGAGAGCACGAGCAAGGAACUCAGGACCGCGAGGGGGGCACCCACACACUGAGACAAUGGGGAUGUACUAUCGGGAACUCACCAAGGCCAGCUGGCCUGGGUCUGAAAAAGCCUAGGUUAAAACAGGUCUCGCUGAACAUAGCGGACAAUGAGGACUACUGAGACCCCAAGAACAAUGGCAAUGGGUUUUUGAUCCUACUGCACGUAUUGGUUUUGUGGGAGCCUAGGCAGUUUGGAUGCUCACCUUACUAGACCUGGAUGGAGGUGGGUGGUCCCUGAUUGCUCUUUGGGCUGACGAGGGAGGGGGACUUGAUUGGGAGAGGGGGAGGGAAAGGGGAGGCGGUGGUGGGGAAGAGACAGAAAUCUUUAAUUAAUUAAUAAAGAAAUAAAUAAAUUUAAAAAAACUACAGUUCUGAAGUAGCAAUAAAAUAAUUUGAUGGCUGGGGCCACCAUAACACGAGGAACUAAAGAGUCGCACCAUUAGGAAGUUUGAGAGCCCCUGCUCCAGAGGUUGCAGAUGUGACACAGGGUGUGUCCCUCGUUUGGGACUGUCUUAGAGAUGUCACUUUGUCCCUCAUCAUCACUGGGGUGCUACAGAGGGCAAGGCCAUCAGAAGAACCUGCGAUAUAAAAGCCCAGCCGUGAAUGAGGGCCGCAGUUGCCGCAGCCUUAUCUGCAUGCAGGGCUUCCUUUCUUCCUGGCAUCCAUCUUGUGGACAGUGCAGCUCCUCCGCACAGACAAAGCAAUGGCUGCCCAGGAAUUCUAAAUCCACACCUGGG